ACGGGGUGCAGCAGGCGCGAAACCUCCACAAUGCGCGAAAGCGUGAUGGGGUUAUCCCGAGUGCCGUCCGAUGAGGAUGGCUUUUUAUCGAUGUAAGGAUUCGAUAGAAUAAAGGGGGGGCAAGACUGGUGUCAGCCGCCGCGGUAAUACCAGCCCCCUGAGUGGUAAGGACGAUUAUUUGGCCUAAAGCGUUCGUAGCCGGCUUAUCAAGUCUUUUGUUAAAUCCAACGAUUCAAUCGUUGGGCCGCAAAAGAUACUGUUAUGCUAGAGGACGGGAGAGGUCGACGGUAGUCCAGGGGUAGGGGUGAAAUCCUAUAAUCCUUGGAGGACCACCAGUGGCGAAGGCGGUCGACUAGAACGUGCCUGACGGUGAGGGACGAAAGCUGGGGGAGCGAACCGGAUUAGAUACCCGGGUAGUCCCAGCUGUAAACGAUGCGGGCUAGGUGUUGGGGCAGCCACGAGCUGCUCCAGUGCCGCAGAGAAGUUGUUAAGCCCGCCGCCUGGGGAGUACG
This 512-nucleotide ribosomal RNA is filed under the name uncultured archaeon. RNAcentral describes it as "bacterial SSU rRNA". It matches the Rfam family "Archaeal small subunit ribosomal RNA", at positions 325 to 839 of the family's 1478-position model. The record is from RNAcentral.